GAUGAACGCUGGCGGCGUGCCUAAUACAUGCAAGUCGAGCGAACGGACGAGAAGCUUGCUUCUCUGAUGUUAGCGGCGGACGGGUGAGUAACACGUGGAUAACCUACCUAUAAGACUGGGAUAACUUCGGGAAACCGUAGCUAAUACCGGAUAAUAUUUUGAACCGCAUGGUUCAAAAGUGAGAGACGGUCUUGCUGUCACUUAUAGAUGGAUCCGCGCUGCAUUAGCUAGUUGGUAAGGUAACGGCCUACCAAGGCAACGAUGCAUAGCCGACCUGAGAGGGGGGUUGGCCACAAUGGAACGUGAACACGGUCCAGGCGCCUACGGGAGGCAGCAGUAGGGAAUCUUCCGCAAUGGGCGAAAGCCUGACGGAGCAACGCCGCGUGAGUGAUGAAGGUCUUCGGAUCGUAAAACUCUGUUAUUAGGGAAGAACAUAUGUGUAAGUAACUGUGCACAUCUUGACGGUACCUAAUCAGAAAGCCACGGCUAACUACGUG
This 497-nucleotide ribosomal RNA is filed under the name uncultured bacterium. RNAcentral describes it as "partial 16S ribosomal RNA". It matches the Rfam family "Bacterial small subunit ribosomal RNA", at positions 28 to 507 of the family's 1533-position model. The record is from RNAcentral.